AGAAGCAUCCCCCUCACCCCCUUCUUCCUCAUUCGAACCGAACGCAGCAGCGUCACCCCAUUCCUCAUUAUAACUGAACGCAGCAGAGGCGUCUCCGUCAUCUUCGUUUAACUCACCUCAGGCGAAACAUCUUCUUCCUCAUUUGAACCAAACGCAGCAGCAUCUCCAUCAUCUUUUUGCUCACCCCAGGCAAAACAUCUUCUUCCUCAUUCGAGCCGAACAUAGCACUGUCACCCCACUCCUCAUUCGAACGGUAAUCUUCCAUCGUCUACCCCUCAUCCCAACGAUAAUCUUCUUCCUAAUUCAAACCGAAAGCAGUAGCGUCUCCGUCGUAUUCUUGCUCACCCCAUUCGUCAUUCGAACCAAACCAGUAGCGUCUUCUUAAUCCUCAAAGAACCGAUCCAGCAGCGUCUUCUUCUUCCUCGAAGUUACCAUUCUUCCUCAUUUGAACCGAACGCAACAGUUUCACCCUCUUCUCUGUUUCUCAGAGCCGAAAGGUACAAUAUCUUUCCAUCCUCUUCUUCCCCAUUUCGAAACUACAGCAUUCACCCUCUUCUCCAUUUCUCAUUGUCGUUAAUCUCUGUUCCUUAGAGUCGUUAAUCACCGGAGGUUCAUCUCUCAUUGCCGGAGCUACAGUGUUUUCCCCAUUUUUCAUAGUUGUUAAUCACCGGAGCUUCGGAGCUUCAUCUCUCAUCAUCGGAGGUACAACGUGUUUUCUAGUGCUUUGAGUGUGAAAAAUGUUAGAUGACAAAGUUGGGACUAGGUGCUCCUCGAAACGGUUUAGGGAGAUGUUACAAAGUUUGUCUCUAAGUUUGAAGCACAAGAGAAGGCUCAAAGAGACUCCCUUUGGACACUUUUUGGAUUUGCCACAAGUGAUUGUUGAGAUGUCCCUAUUAAGUUAUUUAGUGAAAUUGUAGGACUUGACUAGGCAGUGUUUUAUAGUUGGUGAAGGAUUGUGCAAUUCAGCGAGGCUAAUGUUGCCCUGAUAACGGGUCUUGGCCUAUCGGGUAGUACAGUUUCCCUAUCGGAAGGCGUUGUUGGUAGUGGAUUGUUACAAAGAUCUUUUGGCUUUGAUCAAAAUCACUCUGCCUCUAUAGAGUUGGAUCUUGUGUGGAAUAGACUAAAGAAGAUUGUACGAUUAGAUGGUGAAGAGUACAUUGAGGAGGUGGUAAAGUAGAUUAUUCUGCUCUUGUUCAGUUAUGUGAUGUUUCCCCAAGGCAGUUCGAGGGGUGAGCUCUUUCUGGGCUGGAUACAAUGACGAUUUAUAGCGUAUUGGUGAUUAUGCUUGGGGUAAAUGUGUACAUCAAUUCUUGGUCGGUGGUCUUGAUCAGUUUUUUUCUAGUUAUGGUGUUGGAUUGCACAGAGGCUCAACCUUGUAUAGUGGUUGUCUAUUUGGAUGUAGUGCAGUGUUGAUGGCGUGGAUUACGAGCACACAACAUUAUUCAGUCCUUCAGUCCCUGAUGCCAGUCCUCGUUUGUUUAAGUGGGGGAAUAUGGGGUAUCAGUGGAAGUCGAAGAGGGCCAAUUUGUUGAAGAAAGCUAGGGCGGAAAUGGUUAUUGAGGGUUUGAACCCUACUAGUGAGGAGAUGGCCUUAGUGGAUGCUUGAUCAGAGGGCUGUGUAAAUUUUAAUUUUUUCCUUUAUAGUGGAGUCCUCUAUGUGAUCUAAGUACAUGGUAGAUAUUAACCUUUGGUGGACCGAGGGGGCCAUGGUGUGGGUGGGGAACCUUUUUAUAAUGGAAAGGAUGCUAGUCACGGGUAGCAAUGGCGUGGGAAAAAGGAAUUUUGCAAAUCUUGCAUGGAAUCCAUGGAAUAUCAAAUUCUAUGUACGGAGGCUAAAGAGUAUAACUACACAAAAAAGCAGAACGUGGAACUUUGUGAUGAAGUCAAUAGGCUUCAUAGAAUGAUGAAAAAUAAUGGGUUGGACCCUGAUGCAGUACCAUGUAGUGAUGGCCAUGAUGGUUUGGCAAGCUACUUGCCAAACGAUGAUGUGUUAGACAG
Long non-coding RNA from Nelumbo nucifera (sacred lotus), 1998 nucleotides. RefSeq lists it as uncharacterized. Lineage: Eukaryota; Viridiplantae; Streptophyta; Magnoliopsida; Proteales; Nelumbonaceae. The record is from RefSeq and is a predicted model, not a curated record.